Molecule: ribosomal RNA, 496 nt
Filed under: uncultured bacterium
Lineage: Bacteria
Description: partial 16S ribosomal RNA
Rfam family: Bacterial small subunit ribosomal RNA
Source: RNAcentral
AUGAACGCUGGCGGCGUGCCUAAUACCUGCAAGUCGAGCGAACAGACGAGGAGCUUGCUCCUCUGACGUUAGCGGCGGACGGGUGAGUAACACGUGGAUAACCUACCUAUAAGACUGGGAUAACUUCGGGAAACCGGAGCUAAUACCGGAUAAUAUAUUGAACCGCAUGGUUCAAUAGUGAAAGACGGUUUUGCUGUCACUUAUAGAUGGAUCCGCGCCGCAUUAACUAGUUGGUAAGGUAACGGCUUACCAAGGCAACGAUGCGUAGCCGACCUGAGAGGGUGAUCGGCCACACUGGAACUGAGACACGGUCCAGACUCCUACGGGAGGCAGCAGUAGGGAAUCUUCCGCAAUGGGCGAAAGCCUGACGGAGCAACGCCGCGUGAGUGAUGAAGGUCUUCGGAUCGUAAAACUCUGUUAUUAGGGAAGAACAAAUGUGUAAGUAACUAUGCACGUCUUGACGGUACCUAAUCAGAAAGCCACGGCUAACUACGUG